This 256-nucleotide ribosomal RNA is filed under the name uncultured bacterium. RNAcentral's name for it is "partial 16S ribosomal RNA". It matches the Rfam family "Bacterial small subunit ribosomal RNA", at positions 524 to 776 of the family's 1533-position model. The record is from RNAcentral.
UACGUAGGGAGCAAGCGUUUGUCCGGAUUUAUUGGGCGUAAAGAGCUCGUAGGCGGUUACGUAAGUCAGGUGUGAAACCUCCAGGCUCAACCUGGAGACGCCACUUGAUACUGCGUUGACUUUGAGUUCGGUAGGGGUAAGCGGAAUUCCUGGUGUAGCGGUGAAAUGCGCAGAUAUCAGGAGGAACACCGAUGGCGAAGGCAGGUCUCUGGGCCACUACUGACGCUGAGAAGCGAAAGCAUGGGGAGCGAACAGG